CCUGUUGAAGGACAUCUGAGGAGACGCUCUCCAGGCUUUCUACCUGGCUGUUGAGUUGGGUCAUUGACUAGUUUGACCUUUUCUGAGUCAGGAUGUAAGGCUGGUUAGUUUUAUUGACCUGUUCAUUAGCUAUUGUUGAGGACUCAACAAGAAAGAUGAAAACACUUGAGGAGCGUCAUUCUGUUCUUCUUUGACACCAGAGUCAUCCUGCAAUGAUCCAGGAGCCUGUGACUGUUUCUGGGAAGGAGGCAGCAACACUGGCAGAGAGCAGAGCUUGGAAGUCAGAUGAUGUAACCAAAGUGCCACGAGAGGGCUUAUACUCUUCAAGUCCCGGGUUGGCGGCAGUGAUCUCCAGGCAGAUCAGCUCCCCAGGUGUGUGGGGUCUCCAGGUGUUCCGGGUCUCCAGGUGUUCCGGGUCGCCAGGUGUACGAGUUACAUCUUCUGGUUACAAAUGACAGAAACCAGCUCUGGGAGUUUACUGGAAGUAAUGGAAGGAUAUCGGAAGCUUCCAAAAAUGGCAGAGAACCAGAUUUGGAAAUGGAUCAAAAACAAGGCAUCUCUGGAAGGUUAGGAAGGGGGCCACCCAAGGAGCGGCUGCUAUUAGGAGCAUUCUGGCUCGGGCACGACAGACCUCCGCUCUUCAGUCUCUAUGCAACUCAUGACUUUUUCAGUUGCCUGAGAGUGAGCAUCCACUGGUCUUAACUUGGCUGUGGAACAAGUGCCGUUGGUACACUGACCAUGUUCCCUUGGAGGUCACCUGUAGACAGCUUCCUUAACAUGCUGACAAUUGGAGGGUGCUCUGUCCAGAGAGGCACAGUCUGCCUGGAGCAGGUGACACCGGAAGUGCUGGGAACUCGCCUCCCCAGGAGCGAGCCUCACUAGAGAUACUGACACACCCCGUCCUCUGCUGCCUGGGGAGGACACAACCUGAGGAGUGUUCCCACAGUCUCUCAGAGGUGCUGGUGGAAUGAGCCUCAGCGGCCCUCAGCGGUCACGUGCUCCUCGGCCUACACUUCCCUCCUUUCCUCUCUCACUUCCUCUUCUUCACGUUGCUUCCUGGGCUCACCUCCCAAAUAAAAUGCUUGCUGGUCAAUCUUUUAUGAUCUAUUUUUGGGCCGUCUAAAUUAAGAUGGGGAAAAAGUGGAAACAGUGACAGAUUUGGGCUCCAAAUUCACUGUGGACAGUGACUACAGCCAUAAAAUUCAAAGAUGCUUGCUCCUUGGAAGGAAAGCUAUGACAAACCUCAAAAGCAAAAGCAUUGCUUUGAUGACAAAGGUCCAUAUAGUCAAAGUUAUAGUUAUUCCAGUAGUCAUGUACAGAUGUGAGAGUUGGACUGUAAAGAAGGCUGAGUGCUUGUUUAUAAUAGCCGGGACAUGGAAGCAACCUCGAUGCCCAUCAGCAGAUGAAUGGAUAAGGAAGCUGUGGUACAUAUACACCAUGGAAUAUUACUCAGCCAUUAAAAAGAAUUCAUUUGAACCAGUUCUAAUGAGAUGGAUGAAACUGGAGCCCAUUAUACAGAGUGAAGUAAGCCAGAAAGAUAAAGAACAUUACAGCAUACUAACACAUAUAUAUGGAAUUUAGAAAGAUGGUAAUGACAACCCUAUAUGCAAAACAGAAAAAGAGACACAGAAAGACAGAACAGACUUUUGAACUCUGU
Long non-coding RNA from Dama dama (fallow deer), 1657 nucleotides. RefSeq lists it as uncharacterized. The transcript has 3 exons. The record is from RefSeq and is a predicted model, not a curated record. NCBI's taxonomy places the organism in Eukaryota, Metazoa, Chordata, Mammalia, Artiodactyla, Cervidae.